ACUCUGGAAGGCAGAGAUUUGAUGCAGCAGCCAUAGCUGAAUGAAACGCUUGUGAAUGGGGGAUUUUUUUUUAUCCCCCAAAGCCCCUUGACCUCCUUAUUCAACAUCUGGAAAAAUAGUACAGUACCAGCAGCGGGAAUGCGCUUCCCAGCACCUGGUACUGCAUUCAGUCUGCAAUUUAAUGUGGUACUAUUCUGAAGGUUUUGGCAGCUUCUCCAGGAAGAGGCAGAGAGAAUGAUCUCUGUAAAUAUUUGCCAGUGGGUACUUUCAUGCUACAAUGGAUGGAAUGAGUAGUUGCAACUGAUACCGUGUGACCUGCAAAGUCUAAACAGUUUGCUCUCUGGCCUCUUAUUGAAACAGUUCAUGGAUGCCUGUUUUGGAUGCAUUGAAUAGCAGUAAACAACCAAGCAACCAAUAAGGGAUUUGGAGACAGUUAAGAAGGUUGAAUGCCUGAAUGAGAAACGAUUGAUUAUUCCUCUUGCUGAAGGCUUAUGAAACCGUGAGAUGUAGACUUCUGCCUCUAAAUUGUAUCUCCAGCUCCAACCCUGUCUUCUUGGACAGUGCAGCUGAAUGUCUUCCUCAUUGUGUUACUUGGGCUCUGUUUCCAAAAAUCAGUCAACCAUAUAUGUGUGGGUCUAUUUCUAGACUUGAUUAUGAUCCAUUGACAUGUAUAUCUAUCCUUACAUCAUUCCCGCACUGUUUUGUCAUAUAGCCAAUUAUAGUCUCUAAGCUUAACCCAGCCCAUAUUGUGUUUCAUACAGCCUAUAAGCUAAAAAUGGCUUUUUUAUCUUUAAAGAGUUGUAUAUGGUGCACAAAGCCUUAAAUAUUUACUCUCUGGCCUUUUACAGAAAAAGUUGCUAAUUUUGUGGCAAGUCUUGAAAUAAGCUGUUAUAAUGUUGUUCUUCCAUAUCAGAUUUCCUCUGGAUAUUCUGGGUAUAUUACAUUCAUAUACAUUUUAAAAUCAUAUUGAUUUCUAAAGAAAAAAUUGCUGAGAUUUUGAAUGAUAUUACAUUGACUUUCUGAUCAGUUUGGGGAUAAUUGACAUUUUAAAAAUAUUGAAUCUUCUAGUCUGUAAACAUGAAUUAUCUCUCUAUUUACUUAGAAACUCUUUAAUUACUCUCAAAAGUGUUUUAUAGUUCUCUGUAUCCUGGUCUUACACAUAUUUUGUUAAAUUUAUCCCUAAGUAUUUUGUGUUGUUGAUAUUAUCACAUAUGGCAUUUAAAAUUUUUAUUUAUAUAUUGUUUGCUACUAUUAAAUAUAAUUGCAAUUGGGUUUUACUUAUUACAAUUUUUCCUAAAUUUGCUAAUUCUGGAAAAUUUUUUGAGUAUUUGUUAUGAUUUUCUAUGUAUGUAAUAAUGUCAUCUGAGA
Molecule: long non-coding RNA, 1368 nt
Organism: Bos taurus (domestic cattle)
Lineage: Eukaryota; Metazoa; Chordata; Mammalia; Artiodactyla; Bovidae
Source: Ensembl